GCCACCAAAGUGGGGAAGCUAUCUAAAGUUGCAACCUCCUACCAUUUUUUCACCUUAAUCUUCCCUACCCAAUCAUGAAAAGAGGAAGGCUGCCCUAAUAAAAGUAACCCUUAAACAAAUAGGGAAAAGAAAUGCUCAGGAUCAGGCUUGUGUGCUAUACCUUCCCCCCACCAAUGAGAAGAAAUAGGGGUGAAAAAUGUGCAUCACACAUGGAUGAUUUGCACUGGAUUAUCUAAGGUGACCACACAGAUCUUCCCAUGGAUCUCAAAUCAAUCCACCGAUGAUGAGCUUCGGAUUUUGUGCUCCCAUAGCAUCCUAUCCCAUCUUAGCUGAUUCAGCCAAUCCAACCAUCUGGUGCAAGGCACUGGGCAUGGAUGCAGCACACAUGACAGCAAAGAAUUGGCAUGUCACGGCAUUGGCCACAUUGUAUUUAAAGUAGCGUCACAUCAAGCAUCAAGGGAAGAAUCACGAGAUCCUUAUCUAUGGGAGAAGAACAACACAAUCUAGAGAGAGAAGAACACCCGUCAUCUCCUCUAGAGUUCUACACUCAUCUACAAUGGAAGAACAAAAUGAUCUGGGGAGAGAAAAUAUGGCACAUUCUUCAACCGACACUCAUCACCUCUUGAGGAGUUAUGUAUUCCACCUUAAUAUAUUUGUAUUGAUUAUUCGUCAGACAUAAGUUUCCUUUACGGGGUUUGUGGUUGGCACGUCAGCAAGUACGGUAUCCUUGAACCAAUCAUCGGAAUCUUUCAAAGACAUGGAGGAAAGGUGGGAGGCUGGUGCAAAUUUGGAAGUUUGGCGUGGAGUCCAACCAUCUUGGGGGAUAUUUUAGCGAUGUUAGCUGAAAAUAUGAGGAUGAUGUCGGACGGGUAGAGUGAAACGAUAGAGUUGUUUUUUUUUAUUACUGUUAUUCUUUUACUUUAUGCCGAUGGGGCGACAGAUACAGUGAUGUGGAGAUGAACAAUAAACAUAUUUAUGAUCCAA
Non-coding RNA from Elaeis guineensis (African oil palm), 984 nucleotides. Lineage: Eukaryota; Viridiplantae; Streptophyta; Magnoliopsida; Arecales; Arecaceae. The record is from RefSeq and is a predicted model, not a curated record.